RNAcentral lists this transfer RNA (77 nucleotides) under bacterium. RNAcentral's name for it is "tRNA-Asp". It matches the Rfam family "tRNA". From Rfam's summary of the family: Transfer RNA (tRNA) molecules are approximately 80 nucleotides in length. Their secondary structure includes four short double-helical elements and three loops (D, anti-codon, and T loops). Further hydrogen bonds mediate the characteristic L-shaped molecular structure. tRNAs have two regions of fundamental functional importance: the anti-codon, which is responsible for specific mRNA codon recognition, and the 3' end, to which the tRNAs corresponding amino acid is attached (by aminoacyl-tRNA synthetases). tRNAs cope with the degeneracy of the genetic code in two manners: having more than one tRNA (with a specific anti-codon) for a particular amino acid; and 'wobble' base-pairing, i.e. permitting non-standard base-pairing at the 3rd anti-codon position. The record is from RNAcentral.
GGAGCGGUAGUUCAGUCGGCUAGAACGCCUGCCUGUCACGCAGGAGGUCGCGGGUUCGAGUCCCGUUCGCUCCGCCA